This is an RNA transcript of Drosophila sechellia, 2117 nucleotides long. It is a transcript of the gene named major heat shock 70 kDa protein Ba-like, with no coding region annotated. The transcript has a single exon. Lineage: Eukaryota; Metazoa; Arthropoda; Insecta; Diptera; Drosophilidae. The record is from RefSeq and is a predicted model, not a curated record.
GUCAAUUCAAUUCAAACAAGCAAAGUGAAAACAUCGCUAAGCGAAAGCUAAGCAAACAAACAAGCGCAGCUGAACAAGCUAAACAAACAAUCUGCAUUAAAGUGCAAGUUAAAGUGAAUCAAUUUAAAGUAACCAGCAACCAACUAUAUCAACUGCAACUACUGAAAUCAACCGAGAAGUAAUUAUUGAAGACAAGAAGAGAACUCUGAAUACUUUGAACAAGUCGUUACCGAGGAAGAAGAACUCACACACAAUGCCUGCUAUUGGAAUCGAUCUGGGCACCACCUACUCCUGCGUGGGUGUCUACCAACAUGGCAAGGUGGAGAUUAUCGCCAACGACCAGGGCAACCGCACCACGCCGUCCUACGUGGCUUUCACAGAUUCGGAACGCCUGAUCGGCGAUCCGGCCAAGAACCAGGUGGCCAUGAACCCCAGAAACACAGUGUUCGACGCCAAGCGACUCAUUGGCCGUAAAUACGACGACCCCAAAAUCGCAGAAGACAUGAAGCACUGGCCUUUCAAGGUGGUAAGCGACUGCGGAAAGCCCAAGAUCGGCGUGGAGUAUAAGGGUGAGUCCAAGCGAUUUGCCCCCGAGGAGAUCAGCUCAAUGGUGCUGGCCAAGAUGAAAGAGACGGCGGAGGCGUAUCUGGGCGAGAGCAUCACGGAUGCAGUCAUCACAGUUCCAGCCUACUUCAACGACUCCCAGCGCCAGGCUACCAAAGACGCUGGUCACAUCGCCGGCCUGAAUGUGCUCCGCAUCAUCAAUGAGCCCACGGCGGCAGCACUGGCCUACGGACUGGACAAGAAUCUCAAGGGUGAGCGCAAUGUGCUUAUCUUCGACUUGGGCGGCGGUACCUUCGAUGUCUCCAUCCUGACCAUCGACGAGGGAUCACUGUUCGAGGUGCGCUCCACAGCCGGAGACACACACUUGGGCGGCGAGGACUUUGACAACCGGCUAGUUACCCACCUGGCGGAGGAGUUCAAGCGCAAGUACAAGAAGGAUCUGCGCUCCAACCCUCGCGCCCUACGUCGCCUCAGAACAGCAGCUGAACGGGCCAAGCGCACACUUUCCUCCAGCACGGAGGCCACCAUCGAGAUCGACGCAUUGUUUGAGGGUCAGGACUUCUACACCAAAGUGAGCCGCGCAAGGUUCGAGGAGCUGUGCGCAGACCUCUUCCGCAACACCCUGCAGCCUGUGGAGAAGGCCCUCACCGAUGCCAAGAUGGACAAGGGUCAGAUCCACGACAUCGUACUUGUCGGCGGAUCCACUCGCAUUCCCAAGGUGCAAAGUCUGCUGCAGCAGUUCUUCCACGGCAAGAACCUCAACCUAUCCAUCAACCCAGACGAGGCAGUGGCAUACGGAGCUGCUGUGCAGGCCGCUAUCCUCAGCGGAGACCAGAGCGGCAAGAUCCAGGACGUGCUGCUGGUGGACGUGGCCCCACUUUCAUUGGGAAUUGAGACCGCUGGAGGUGUAAUGACCAAGCUGAUCGAGCGCAACUGCCGUAUGAGGGCGAACGUGCGAUGACGAAGGACAACAAUGCAUUGGGCACCUUCGAUCUGUCCGGCAUUCCACCUGCACCAAGGGGUGUGCCCCAGAUAGAAGUUACCUUCGACUUGGACGCCAAUGGAAUCUUGAACGUCAGUGCCAAGGAGAUGAGCACGGGCAAGGCCAAGAACAUCACGAUCAAGAACGACAAGGGACGCCUCUCGCAGGCCGAGAUUGAUCGCAUGGUGAACGAGGCUGAGAAGUACGCCGACGAGGACGAGAAGCAGCGCCAGCGCAUAACCUCUCGAAAUGCCUUGGAGAGCUACGUCUUCAAUGUGAAGCAGUCCGUGGAGCAGGCACCCGCUGGCAAAUUGGACGAGGCCGACAAGAACUCCGUCCUGGACAAGUGCAACGACACUAUCCGAUGGCUGGACAGCAACACCACCGCCGAGAAGGAGGAGUUUGACCACAAGAUGGAGGAGCUCACUCGCCACUGCUCCCCCAUCAUGACCAAGAUGCAUCAGCAGGGAGCGGGAGCGGGAGCAGCUGGUGGACCGGGAGCCAACUGCGGCCAACAGGCCGGAGGAUUUGGCGGCUACUCUGGACCCACAGUGGAGGAGGUCGACUAAAG